This 230-nucleotide ribosomal RNA is filed under the name uncultured microorganism. RNAcentral describes it as "partial 16S ribosomal RNA". It matches the Rfam family "Bacterial small subunit ribosomal RNA", at positions 524 to 753 of the family's 1533-position model. The record is from RNAcentral.
UACGGAGGGGGCUAGCGUUGUUCGGAAUUACUGGGCGUAAAGCGCACGUAGGCGGCUCGUAUAGUUAGGUGUGAAAGGCCUGGGCUUAACCUGGGAACUGCACUUAAUACUGACGAGCUAGAGUCCGGAAGGGGGUGGCGGAAUUCCUGGUGUAGCGGUGGAAUGUGCAGAUAUCAGGAGGAACACCGAUGGCGAAGGCGGCCACCUGGUCCGGAACUGACGCUGAGGUG